Molecule: ribosomal RNA, 916 nt
Filed under: uncultured archaeon
Lineage: Archaea
Description: SSU rRNA
Rfam family: Archaeal small subunit ribosomal RNA
Source: RNAcentral
UUUCCGGUUGAUCCUGCCGGACCUGACUGCUAUCGGAUUGAUACUAAGCCAUGCGAGUCUUUGUAGUAAUACAAGGCAGACGGCUCAGUAACACGUAGUCAACCUACCCUAUGGACGAGAAUAAUCUCGGGAAACUGAGCAUAAUUCUUGAUAGAUCAUAAUGCCUGGAAUGGUUUAUGGUUAAAAUGAUUCGUCGCCAUAGGAUGGGACUGCGGCCUAUCAGCUUGUUGGUGAGGUAAUGGCCCACCAAGGCGAUUACAGGUACGGGCUCUGAGAGGAGAAGCCCGGAGAUGGGUACUGAGACACGGACCCAGGCCCUAUGGGGCGCAGCAGGCGAGAAAACUUUGCAAUGUGCGAAAGCACGACAAGGUUAAUCCGAGUGAUUUCUGCUAAAGAAAUCUUUUGCCGGCCGUAAAACCGCUGGUGAAUAAGGGGUGGGCAAGUUCUGGUGUCAGCCGCCGCGGUAAAACCAGCACCUCAAGUGGUCAGGAUGAUUAUUGGGCCUAAAGCAUCCGUAGCCGGCUUUGUAAGUUUUCGGUUAAAUCCAUGUGCUCAACACAUGGGCUGCCGAAAAUACUGCAUAGCUAGGGAGUGGGAGAGGUAGACGGUACUCAGUAGGUAGGGGUAAAAUCCUUUGAUCUAUUGAUGACCACCUGUGGCGAAGGCGGUCUACCAGAACACGUUCGACGGUGAGGGAUGAAAGCUGGGGGAGCAAACCGGAUUAGAUACCCGGGUAGUCCCAGCUGUAAACGAUGCAGACUCGAUGAUGCAUUGGCAUAAUAGCUAUUGCAGUGUCGCAGGGAAGCCGUUAAGUCUGCCGCCUGGGAAGUACGUACGCAAGUAUGAAACUUAAAGGAAUUGGCGGGGGAGCACCACAAGGGGUGAAGCCUGCGGUUCAAUUGGAGUCAACGCCGGA